UGGGUUGUGGAUCAGUGUUAGAGCACUUGCCUUGAAUGCAUGGGGCACUGGGUUCAAUCUCAGCACCACAU
This 71-nucleotide transfer RNA is filed under the name Marmota monax (woodchuck). It matches the Rfam family "tRNA". Rfam says of the family: Transfer RNA (tRNA) molecules are approximately 80 nucleotides in length. Lineage: Eukaryota; Metazoa; Chordata; Mammalia; Rodentia; Sciuridae. The record is from Rfam by way of RNAcentral.